UCACAGAGGGGGUACCAGGCACCACAGAGGGAGCAAGCAGGCCCUCGCACCUGCUUUAUUCUCACUGUGUGACCAUCAGAAGUCACUCCAUAUCCUCACCCCACCGUGACCAACAAGAAAGGUGUGAGAGUGACAUGGGGGUGAUGCCGCAGGCCUCCCAAACAACAGGCAAUACAUUCCAGAAUACUCCCCAAACUUGCAGUGGAUGUCUGGAGCCACGAGCAGAAUCUACCUGGUGGAAAUGACUCAUUGACAAGGGUAGAAGAUCACAAAAUUCAGGGGAUGAGAUAGAACGCACUGAAAGCAUUCCAAUGUACAAACAACUCAGAUCAAAUUGAGAGCGCACGCCAGCCGGUGGGUAGCUGAGCACCAAGUUCCUAGAGACAAGACCUCACCCAGAUCUUCCCAGUGUCCAGGCAGAGCCUCACUACACGUGUGGGGAGAGAAGCGCGGAGCACCCUGGCAUGCCUAGAUUGUCAGAAUCAACAUUUCAGAACUCUGGAAGUCAACCAAAGGCUGGCAGCCCUCUGUGGGCGGAGUGGCACUUAAAAAAAAAAAAAAAAGCUGACUCUUGAAGAGCUCACAACUUGGUGGCAUUUUAAUCUGUCCCAUCCCACCCCCCUCCCCCACUACUCCAAGAGACCUCAGACUUCAACAGCCUACAAGCACAGAGAAGCCAAUAGCCUGGGCAACCAGUAGAGAGGCAGGGUCUUUAUUUGACCUGUCUGGUGUCUUUAUUUGAAUGAACUCAGUGUUUACUUAGGGCAAACAGCCUGUGUCUCAGAAAUAUUUGUCCCAGACUUUCAGAGACAAUUGUGGCAGAUGUGUGAGACUGCACAGGACAGCGAGGCCGGCAACAGGUUCACCAGAGAGUAAAGGAAAACUGGAAGUGGGGUGUCCACAGGGGUAGGGAUGCU
This is a long non-coding RNA of Rattus norvegicus (Norway rat), 917 nucleotides long. RefSeq lists it as uncharacterized. The record is from RefSeq and is a predicted model, not a curated record. Lineage: Eukaryota; Metazoa; Chordata; Mammalia; Rodentia; Muridae.